RNAcentral lists this ribosomal RNA (252 nucleotides) under uncultured bacterium. RNAcentral's name for it is "partial 16S ribosomal RNA". It matches the Rfam family "Bacterial small subunit ribosomal RNA", at positions 525 to 776 of the family's 1533-position model. The record is from RNAcentral.
ACGUAGGGACCAAGCGUUGUUCGGAUUUACUGGGCGUAAAGGGCGCGUAGGCGGCGCGGUAAGUCACUUGUGAAAUCUCUGAGCUUAACUCAGAACGGCCAAGUGAUACUGCGGUGCUAGAGUGUGGAAGGGGCAAUCGGAAUUCUUGGUGUAGCGGUGAAAUGCGUAGAUAUCAAGAGGAACACCUGAGGUGAAGACGGGUUGCUGGGCCAACACUGACGCUGAUGCGCGAAAGCCAGGGGAGCAAACGGG